CUGCGAGUGACAGGGAUUAGCCCAGCACCGAAGCCUGUGGUUAUUUGACUGCAAGGCAAUGUGGUGUUUAGGUUUGUUCUUGGCAUUACUGCUCUGCCCCAAGUCCAGCAAUGAGUACGGCAUACCGUUCUGGCCCAUAGAGGGUGAAAGGCCCGUGGGGGUAGAGACCAAGCAUGACAGUUUUGUCCAGAGCUUACCUUGGAGUCGGGUUGUUUGAGAAUGCAGCCCAAAGUGGGUGGUAAACUCCAUCCAAGGCUAAAUACUUGCACGAGUCCGAUAGUAAACAAGUACCGUGAGGGAAAGUUGAAAAGUACUUUGAAGAGAGAGUAAACAGUGCGUGAAACCGCUCAGAGGUAAACGGGUGGAGUUGAACUGCGAUCCUUGGGAAUUCAGCUGAUGAGCAUGAUUUGUGCUUGGGNCAUAUUGACCGCCCUUUCAGUGUCUGCUUAGCUGCGGGUGCCUGCCUCUGGUGGGUAUGUGUGGUGCGCUUAUCAUGUGCCGCACGCAUUGGAGGGUGUAUGAGUCUGCUUGUCCGGUGCACUUUCUCAGGGUGUUCACCACGACCGGCACUGCUGUCUGUCUGCUUUGGUCAAACUGAUCAGGUCUGAUUAACGUUGGGCUUGGUUGGGGUGGCAGGUGACUCACUGGUCCAUUCUGUGGGCUAUGAGUGUUACUAGCCGGCUUUAGUGGAUCUGUACGGUGUGUCGGAGACGGCGGCUUUGCAUAUGCGCUCUGUCCUUCAGGCGUGGUUGAGUCUGGUCGACUUGUUGCUAGUUUCGGCUGGUCAGUUGAUGGCUUGAUCAUGUUCAGUUGGCAGUGGUGUGUGUGUCUUAGUUUGGGCCAAUAGUCUGUGGUGUUGUGGUAGACUAUCCACCUGACCCGUCUUGAAACACGGACCAAGGAGUUUAACAUGUGCGCGAGUCAUUGGGCUUUACGAAACCCAAAGGCGCAGUGAAGGUAAAGGCUUGGCUUGUCCAGGCUGAGGUGAGAUCCUGUUGUUUUGCUCAUUCAUUCCAAGCUGCGAGCAGCAGGCGCAUCACCGGCCCGUCCCAUGACGUAGACAUGUGGCCUUGUGCUAUGUGCACCGUCGGGGCGGAGCAAGAGCGUACAUGUUGAGACCCGAAAGAUGGUGAACUAUGCUUGCGAAGGUUGAAGCCAGAGGAAACUCUGGUGGAGGAUCCGUAGGCGAUUUCUGANCGUGCAAAUUCGAUCGUAUAACGUGAGUAUA
Molecule: ribosomal RNA, 1228 nt
Filed under: Digenea sp. JAM_17N38
Lineage: Eukaryota; Metazoa; Platyhelminthes; Trematoda
Description: partial 28S ribosomal RNA
Rfam family: Eukaryotic large subunit ribosomal RNA
Source: RNAcentral